This is a long non-coding RNA of Ostrinia nubilalis (European corn borer), 704 nucleotides long. RefSeq lists it as uncharacterized. The transcript has 2 exons. Lineage: Eukaryota; Metazoa; Arthropoda; Insecta; Lepidoptera; Crambidae. The record is from RefSeq and is a predicted model, not a curated record.
UACCUGGGUCGAAUAUGGCCAGCCGAAAAAUAUGGCCACAUGUCAUUAUUUCAAAUACGAAAUAUUAUAAUAACCUGAACGCGACCAUAAAUUGUCGCUAGUGUAGCGUGUAUCCGAACGGCGUACCUGUCACUCCUCCCGCGCGCCCGCUAGUCGCCCAGUGUUUAUUAAAUGGAAACGAGUUUUAAGGUUAUAAAAACAUCAAGCAAGUAUUGUCCUGUAUUUUGUUAGUUUGAAUUUAAGAAUCUUUGUAAAUCACAUUAUGAUUUUGUGUGGCGAUUGUAAUUUGAUAUUUCUUUGUUUAAUUACCAAAACCAUGGCACGCUAUAAAUCUAAAGGGAUUAGAGGUAAUUGGUCAGAAGCAUCAAUGAAACAAGCAUUAACUGCAAUCAAAAGCGAUAAGAUGAAAAUAUAUACGGCUUCAAAGCACUAUAAUGUGCCAAGACGUACUUUGAGGCGUUAUUUACUAGAGAAAAAGGAGACAAAAUCUACAUUGGGUCGGAAACCGCUUCUUAACCCUGAACAAGAGAAGAUUUUAGCAUACUUAGCAUUUUAAGUUUAAAAUUAAGAAAGACUUGUUGAGUCUCAUUGUUGACUUUAUCUUUUAAUUUACAUUUUUGUUAAGGUACUUAGUUCCUUAUUUGUAAUGAAUAUCGCCCAAAGAAUAUCUUUUAAAUAAAUCUUCUAUUAAAAUAUAAUAACUA